Molecule: ribosomal RNA, 318 nt
Filed under: uncultured bacterium
Lineage: Bacteria
Description: bacterial SSU rRNA
Rfam family: Bacterial small subunit ribosomal RNA
Source: RNAcentral
AGAGUUUGAUCAUGGCUCAGGAUGAACGCUGGCGGCGUGCUUAACACAUGCAAGUCGAACGGAGAACCCCUGACGGAGGAUUCGUCCAACUGAUGGGAAUUCUUAGUGGCGGACGGGUGAGUAACGCGUGAGGAACCUGCCUUGGAGUGGGGAAUAACAGUCCGAAAGGACUGCUAAUACCGCAUAAUGCAGUUGGGCCGCAUGGCUCUGACUGCCAAAGAUUUAUCGCUCUGAGAUGGCCUCGCGUCUGAUUAGCUAGUAGGCGGGGUAACGGCCCACCAAGGCGACGAUCAGUAGCCGACCUGAGAGGGUGACCGG